RNAcentral lists this ribosomal RNA (253 nucleotides) under uncultured bacterium. RNAcentral's name for it is "partial 16S ribosomal RNA". It matches the Rfam family "Bacterial small subunit ribosomal RNA", at positions 524 to 776 of the family's 1533-position model. The record is from RNAcentral.
UACGUAGGUGGCAAGCGUUGUCCGGAAUUACUGGGUGUAAAGGGAGCGCAGGCGGGAAGCCAAGUCAGCUGUGAAAACUACGGGCUUAACUUGUAGACUGCAGUUGAAACUGGUUUUCUUGAGUGAAGUAGAGGUUGGCGGAAUUCCGAGUGUAGCGGUGAAAUGCGUAGAUAUUCGGAGGAACACCGGUGGCGAAGGCGGCCAACUGGGCUUUAACUGACGCUGAGGCUCGAAAGUGUAGGGAGCAAACAGG